RNAcentral lists this ribosomal RNA (490 nucleotides) under uncultured bacterium. Its description in RNAcentral is "partial 16S ribosomal RNA". It matches the Rfam family "Bacterial small subunit ribosomal RNA", at positions 29 to 507 of the family's 1533-position model. The record is from RNAcentral.
AGUGAACGCUGGCGGUAGGCCUAACACAUGCAAGUCGAACGGCAGCACAGGAGAGCUUGCUCUCUGGGUGGCGAGUGGCGGACGGGUGAGGAAUACAUCGGAAUCUGCCCAGUCGUGGGGGAUAACGUAGGGAAACUUACGCUAAUACCGCAUACGACCUUCGGGUGAAAGAGGGGGAUCGCAAGACCUCUCGCGAUUGGAUGAGCCGAUGUCGGAUUAGCUAGUUGGCGGGGUAAUGGCCCACCAAGGCGACGAUCCGUAGCUGGUCUGAGAGGAUGAUUCGGCAACACGGAACUGGGACACGGUCCAGACUCCUAAGGGAGGCAGCAGUUGGGAAUAUUGGACAAUGGGGGGCAACCUGGUCCAGGCCUACCGGGGGGGUGGAAGAGGGCCUUCGGUUUGAAAGGCCUUUUGUUGGGAAAGAAAUCUUUCAGGCUAAUACCCUGGGAGGAUGACGGUACCCAAAGAAUAAGCACCGGCUAACUUCGUG